RNAcentral lists this ribosomal RNA (468 nucleotides) under uncultured bacterium. Its description in RNAcentral is "partial 16S ribosomal RNA". It matches the Rfam family "Bacterial small subunit ribosomal RNA", at positions 28 to 507 of the family's 1533-position model. The record is from RNAcentral.
GACGAACGCUGGCGGUGUGCUUAACACAUGCAAGUCGAACGGAAAGGCCCUGCUUUUGUGGGGUGCUCGAGUGGCGACCGGGUGAGUUACACGUGAGUAACCUGCACUUGACUUUGAGGGAACUUCAGGCAACUGGGGCUAAUACCGGAUAGGAGCUCCUGCUGCAUGGUGGGGGUUGGAAAGUUUCGGCGGUUGGGGAUGGACUCGCGGCUUAUCAGCCUGUUGGUGGGUUAGUGGCUUACCAAGGCUUUGACGGGUAGCCGGCCUGAGAGGGUGACCGGCGACAUAGGGACUGAGAUACGGCCCAGACUCGUACGGGGGGGAGCAGUGUGGAGUAUUGCACGAUGGGCGGAAGAGUGAUGCAGCAACGUCGCGUGUGGGAGAACGGCCUUCGGGUUGUAAACCGCUCUCGCCUGAGACGAAGCGUGAGUGACGGUAACGGGUAAAGAAGCACCGGCUAACUACGUG